Non-coding RNA from Mycena galopus ATCC 62051, 95 nucleotides. The record is from the annotation of a GenBank genome assembly. Lineage: Eukaryota; Fungi; Basidiomycota; Agaricomycetes; Agaricales; Mycenaceae.
GCUCAAAUGGGUUAGUGGGGUAGACCGGUUUCGUAAUUUCAGGUACUCUGUGAUGAUUUCCGAGACCGACGUGGGUUCGAUUCCCGCUUAGAGCG